UACGAAGGGGGCUAGCGUUGUUCGGAAUUACUGGGCGUAAAGCGCGCGCAGGCGGCCUUCCAAGUCAGUGGUGAAAGCCCGGAGCUCAACUCCGGAACUGCCAUUGAAACUGUUAGGCUUGAGGAUGAGAGAGGUGAGUGGAAUUCCCAGUGUAGAGGUGAAAUUCGUAGAUAUGUGGAGGAACACCAGUGGCGAAGGCGACUCUCUGGGCUGUAACUGACGCUGAGGCGCGAAAGCGUGGGGAGCAAACAGG
RNAcentral lists this ribosomal RNA (253 nucleotides) under uncultured bacterium. RNAcentral describes it as "partial 16S ribosomal RNA". It matches the Rfam family "Bacterial small subunit ribosomal RNA", at positions 524 to 776 of the family's 1533-position model. The record is from RNAcentral.